CCGGGCCGGGAAGGUCCGCCUCACCGCGUGUACUUGACCGGCCGGGCCUUUCCUUCUGGAGAACCUCAUGCCCUUCACUGGGCGUGCUGGGGAACCAGGACUUUUACUUUGAAAAAAUUAGAGUGUUCAAAGCAGGCCUUUGCUCGAAUACGUUAGCAUGGAAUAAUAGAAUAGGACGUGCGGUCCUAUUUUGUUGGUUUCUAGGACCGCCGUAAUGAUUAAUAGGGACAGUCGGGGGCAUCAGUAUUCAAUUGUCAGAGGUGAAAUUCUUGGAUUUAUUGAAGACUAACUACUGCGAAAGCAUUUGCCAAGGAUGUUUUCAUUAAUCAGUGAACGAAAGUUAGGGGAUCGAAGACGAUCAGAUACCGUCGUAGUCUUAACCGUAAACUAUGCCGACUAGGGAUCGGGCGAUGUUCUCAUUUUGACUCGCUCGGCACCUUACGAGAAAUCAAAGUUUUUGGGUUCUGGGGGGAGUAUGGUCGCAAGGCUGAAACUUAAAGGGGAGCCUGCGGCUUAAUUUGACUCAACACGGGGAAACUCACCAGGUCCAGAUGAAAAUAAGGAUUGACAGAUUGAGAGCUCUUUCUUGAUUUUUCAGUGUGUGCAUGGCCGUUCUUAGUUGGUGGAGUGAUUUGUCUGCUUAUUGCGAUUACGACGAGACCUUACCUGCUAAAU
Molecule: ribosomal RNA, 675 nt
Filed under: Acrocalymma aquaticum
Lineage: Eukaryota; Fungi; Ascomycota; Dothideomycetes; Pleosporales; Acrocalymmaceae
Description: SSU rRNA
Rfam family: Eukaryotic small subunit ribosomal RNA
Source: RNAcentral